CUCCUCCUGGAUAGAUCUUGUCUAGUCCUUCACCAAGUGGCCCUCCACCAACUCUGUAUCCUUCUAUUAAGCCCAUAAGUACGACUUGGCUGGCCCAGAUUGCAAGGAUGCUUUGGGCGUGGAUGAGGUUUGGGUUGCCAAGAUAAUCAAGUCCACCUUCAGAGAAGAUUUGGGCACCAGCCUUGAACCAGACAGCUUCACCAAAUUUGACACCAUUCUUCGAGAGGAUUUCCGGGAAGACGCAACCCAAAGCACCAAGCAUAGCCCAUCUACAGUGGAUCACUUCUAACUCACGGUUCUUGGCAAAUGUCUCUGGGUCAGCUGAAAGCCCAGCAGUGUCCCAUCCGUAAUCACCAGGGAACUCACCAGUCAGGUAUGAUGGAGUUUGUUCAGAGAAUGGGCCCAAGUACUUGGGCCUAUCAGGUCCAUACCUGUUGUAUCACUCAAAAACUCAAGUUCUUAAAUGUUGACAUGAUAACAUACAAAGUAGCUGGAAAGGCACACUCUAGAGGUGUACAAUUUUUUUUUUGAAAAAAAAAAAGAAGUUGUCAUUAUUUUUUUGAAUUUGAUCGUAACUUACUGGGAGUUAAUAAGAAAUAAUACUAGAAGGUAUGGAAAUUAAGAAUUAUUGGAAGUGAUUGAUAGUUGUGUGGUGUUAAAAUCUUAAUCAUAUAAGAAUAAAAGUGGAAAGACACAAAGCGAGAAAAAGUUCUUACAUCAACUACCAAGCAUCAUAGGAAGAUAUGAAAGCAGGAGUACUUACUGAUUCUCAGAAAAUUCAAAGCCUUGGUCAUUAAGGAUAAACAAAAGAAAAACUAUGGUAAUUUUAUGGGAUGUUUUUGAAAACUUCUGCUAUAGUUACUUUUAUUUGAGAUGGUGCCCGCACAUGAAAAUGUGAAUAGAGAAAGUGUUAAAAGUUUUCUGAAAACAUAGUAUUUUUUUUUUAAAAAAAAACCCAAAAUAGCUAAUACAAACAUUCUAACAUGAAUAAUUAACAUUUUUCAUAUGCUAGAAUUGCUGAAAUAGAUAUAGUCUGCAUUGGGAUGCAAUAGCUGUAUCAAGAAGUGCUAAUAUGAGCUUAUUUCUUUUUCUUAGAAAUGCUGAGAGCAAUCUUACAGGAGGAACAGGGUGCGAGGAAGAAAGAGUAAGCACAUAUUAAAAUAAAAAAUAAAAAAGAGGAAUCUUAAAACAGUUCAAUAGAUAAAAAGAAUGAAAAAUGUGAAACAUAUUCCUAUUAUUAGUGCCACAAGAGUAAAGUUGCAUGCUUAGAUCAAAUAGACACGCAUCUUCUAUAUUCUGAAUUAUUAAUUAGACAAACAGUCUAAUGACUAAUUGAUACAAGUAAAUAAUGCACAUGAUGUGUAAACUAGUAACAAAAUGUACAAUUAACGAGACAAUUAUCAAUUCAGAGCUCAGCGCCUAUUAUCUCAAAUCUAAAGACAAAUAAAAGAUGAUAAAUAUACAAUUGUAGUAGUUACCAAAUGCUUUGGGGUGCACUUUUGACCGUACGUCUCAUGGAAAAACGGCCACCUCCAAAGCUCCCAACCUUCCUCAGAAGCUCAUUCUGAGGCUUCAAAGCUGUCUGACCAGCAAAUGCAGACUGUUGGAUGCCUGAAGUUGCCAUUACUUUGAUUUUCGAGAUGAAUUGAGCUUUUGUGAUGUUCAAGGGAUUUUGGACUUUGGUAGAGUAGGAUGUGUAAUGAUGCAAAGAAGCUCAUGAAUAUAUACAAAUUGUUUCAAAUAUUGAAUGUGCCAAAUGGUAAGUAUUCUGGAUUACGAUAUCUACACCUCAGCAGCAUUUGAUUGGUUAAGGCAUUGAUUUGUGAUUUCCUCUGUGAUUUUUCUAGGGACAGAGAGGCCACUGUUUUGCCAUGUGGAUCACAAAAAUCUCGCUGCUGAGAGAUAUCAGCUGGCGACCCUCAAGAGACUCCAAGCCACAAAAAUACUUUGUGUACUGAUAGACUUCAAGUACCUUGGUUUUUAAGAAAACUUAAAUCAAAAAACAAAAGGAUAAUUUCGAAUCUUCACUAAGGUUCCAGACAAUUUUAUUUGGCACCAAUUUAAAUGCAAAUUUCGUUUAAAAUCAAUUUCAUCUAUUUUUCAAUUUAAAAAAUUUAAAAAGUCUUGUAUUCUAUUUCCUUAUAAUUAAACAGUUCAAAAUGAAUUAUUCAUCUGUUAUAAUCACAAAUUCACAUGUUGAUUAUUUGGACAUUCUUUUGUUCCUUUUUCCUCGAACUGAGUUUUGCUGAUUAGAUCUUUUCUUUGCUAUUUUUAAAAAUGAUCAAUUGUUAGUAUAUUAUCUGAUAUCCUCUUAUGUGAAACUUACCACCAUCAUUUAGAGUGGCCGAAAUUGAACCACAAGUUGAAACUCAUUGGAAAAAGGAAGAUGGAUAUUUCAAAAUGAAAAUUUUGCAUAGUACAGGAGUAUAAAUAGAAUCUUAGGGAAAUAAAUUGUGAUUAACCCUUUUAUUUAAAUCAAUCAAGUAUAAAUAGAAUCUAAUAGUGGUUGAAAUUUCCCUUUUAAUGUCUCUUGUUUCUUUUUUAUAUUGUUUUUUAUUAGUUGUAUUUAUAAGGUAACUGUGUAUUGAAACAAAGCACAAGAAUUGGUUUAUCAUAAAUAAUUUUAAUAAGAGUAUUUAAUGGGGAUAAAAAAAAAUAAGUUAAAUGUGUUGGGGCAAAGGAAUGCUUAGCUUUAGUUAAACAAAUAAAUACACAUAUAAUUUGCACAAUUUGUGGAGGUGGGGCUCCUUAAUAUGUACUAAAAUAUCAGUAUCUCUAUCAUUGGUAUAUUUAUAUGGUUUGCCUGUUAUGUAUUUUCAUCGUUAAAUUUCAAAUGGAACACUCUCUCCACUAUCAAUCUUGCUCUUACUGUAAAAGCCUUCUAGUUCUAGGCGUAAUAGUCCUUUAGGUUGCCACAGCUUUAGUACAACUAGGCCAUGGCUUGACUAAAAAGCAAGGAGGAUUGUCAACAGAUAUAAAUGUUGAUAAAUUUUGAUCAUUCACACAAAAAAUUUGGACGUACGUAAUUCAAAAACAACUGAUACAUAUUGAUCAAAGUGGCAACUAAUUGAAUAUUAUAUUUCUAUUACAAAAUUAAAUAAGUUAUUUAUAAUGGAUUACAAUUUCUCUAUAACCGGCAACUGCUCCCACCUCUUUUCUCUAUGGCCAUUUUUAUUUUAGUAUAAAUAUUGAAUAAAAUAGAAUGAAACAAGAUUCGUACAAUAUCGCUUUUGCUUCUAUUGUCGAUGUUGGCCUUCCCACUUCCUCCUUCUACUCAAUUAUAGAAAAUAAAUACAAAAUUAAAAAUUUCUAUGUUAUAGAAAACAAAUUUAAAAUUGAAAAAAAACCCAAUGCCACACCACGCAUCAUGCUCCUAUUGAAUCUACAUCUACACAAUUUUGCUAAGGGAUCGUGAGCCCAAAAAGCGAAGUUUAGCCCCUUACAUUUAAAUGUACUAAUUAAAUGGGACGAUCAUGAGCCCAAAUUGCGAAGUUUAGUCUCUCACAUUUAAAUGUAUCAGUUAAAUGGGACCUCACGCGUUGCGCGAGGUUGCCCAGAUAUGCUCUUGAAUUCUUGUAAUGGCAAUGACCUAAUGAGACCAUCAAGUGAUGCAAUUCUGGAUGGAUUAAGGGCGAACAAUAUUGUAUGUAAAUAAAAUCUAUCAUAGGAAGCUGAACAAAAUAAUGUAUAAUUGUUUUGCACUUCCUUUAUAUCUUGGAAUGGAGAUAUUGUAGGCCCACAAAAUAAUCAAUAUAAGCCACAAGCAUUUCUCGAUUGAAUGAAACCACAAGAAACAAAAUAAAUUCUAAGACCAAAAGACGAAACAGGAGAAACAGAAUUGGAUGCUUUUUAUUAUCUCUUUGAAUCUUUUCUUUCUGUCUUACAUCGAUAGACCAAAAGCUUUGGUCUUUAUAUAAGACUAUCAAGUACCAAAAUUCUAUUGGGAUUUAAACUACCAAAACAUACUAGUAAUAGAAAAUCACAACUAAACAACAAAAUAAAUAGUUUCCUAAAUAAAACAAACUAAAUCCUAAAAAGACUUGGUUUAAUGAUCUUACAUUGCCUCCCUUAAACCAAUAUUUUCAAAUUGCGUCAUACCAAACAUCGUCUUCAACUUGAGAAAUAGCUCCACCUUCAAUGGUUUCGUGAAAAUGUCUGCCACUUGAUCUUCACUCUAACAAUAGUCAAUGGCAAUUUUCUGAUCUUAAACUCAUUCACGAAUGAAGUGAAACUUGAUAUCAAUGUGCUUACUCUGUACAUGAAACAUUGGAUUCUUUGACAACUCAACCAUUGAUAACCAUUGAAAUUUUCGUGAUACCGUAGAAACAUUGGAUUUUCUACGGCAUGAACAAGUUGGUCCUACCAAAUUCUAUUGUUCAUGCUGUAGGACCAACUUGUUCAUGCCGUAGAAAAUCAAGCAUUCUUCUCAACCAUAAUGCUUGAGUAGCACUGUGUAUAGCUACCACAUACUUCGCUUCUGCUGUAGAUAAUGCCACCAUUUGUUGUUUCUUAGAAAACCACGAAAAUAUACCAUUACCCAGAUAAAAAGCAUAGUUUGAUAUGCUUAUCCUUUGAAUCAUGUCACUAUCCCAAUCACUGUCUGUAAAGCCAACAAAACUAGAAUUGUUAGCAUAUGGAUAAAAGAUAUCAUCAGAUUGUGUACCUCUAAUAUAUCUUAAAAUCCUCUUGGCCGCUUGCCAAUGUCAUUGGCAUGAAGACUCCAUAAACCUACUAAUUAACUCAACAUCAAAAGUAAUGUCAGGCUUUGUCGACGUCAACUCUCUCAGUUUUCCAAACAAUCUCCUAAAAUUAGUGGUAUCAACAAAUUCACCAUUGCCAUCUUUCACCAACUUCAACUUCUCUUUAACUGGAGUUAAUAUUGGCUUGGCAGUAUCUAUCUGAAACCUCUUCAAUAUGUUACCUGCAUAGUUCUUUUGUGUAAUAAAUAUGCCAUCAUCUGUUUGAAAAACCUCAAUGCCAAGAAAAUAUCUCAAAGUGACUAAUCAUAUAUUAGUUAUCUUGAACUCAGAAAUCACCUUGGAAUUAUUGCCAACAAAAAUUAAAUCAUCCACAUAUAAGUAUACAAUAAGAAUAUCACCACCGGGAUUGAACUUGAUAUACAUAAUAUGCUCAUAUGGAUAUUUAUGAAAUCCAUUCCCAACAACGUAAGAGUCGGUACAAGUAUACCAGGCUCGAGAAGCUUGUUUCAAACUAUAUAGCCUUUUUUAACCUGUAGACUUUAUUUUCUUGGCCUUCACAUAACUUGCAGGUUGUUCAACGUAUAAUUCCUUCCAGAGAAUACCAUUCAAGAAAGCAGAUUUCACAUCCAUUUGAAAAUCUUCCAAGAAUUAUUGAUAGCAAUAAAUAUAAUCAUGCGAAUAGUAUCAAGUCUGGCAACUGGAGCAAAAAUUUCAAAAUAAUCAAUACCUAUCUUUUGCUUAUAUCUUUUAACCACCAAUCUUGCCUUGUAACGAUCUAUCUCUCCAAUUGGCUUGUACUUGGUCUUGUAGACCCACUUGAUACUAAUUAGCUUCUUCCCAUAUGGAAGUGUGUGACGACCCCACCUCCCCCUAAGGCGUACCAAAGGAUUCGGCGGACCGCCUGCCCAACUCUCGCCAGGACUCACUCACUCGUAUCACGUGCAUACAUCCAUAGACAAUAAAUAACAUCGCAAUUCAAUCUUAUAAUUUACAUCGAUGCACAAUCAAGAUACAAAGCCUCAAUAUACCCAAACUGGUUCGAAGUGUAUACAAUCCAAGUACAAAUCAUUCUAAUCGAGUGAUAGCGCGAGUACAAGUCAAAAGGAAAAAACAACUAGCUACGCUAGUCUUUACACAUCUCAUGUCUCGCUCGUACCCCUGUAAGGAAAACAAAACUAAUGGAGUGAGCCAAAACUCAGUGAAGUUCCAAAUAUCAAAUUGGCCAUUAAGUAAAGUAAUAACAGUGUGAUAGUGAAAUAGCGAGCAAACAAGUCAAAUCAGAGAGAUAACACUUCAGAUAGACAAGAAAUAUCUGGUUCACAUUCACAUGUAAGGAUACAAUGGCUCAUAUCUCAGCUCCAUCCCAGCUUGAUCGAUUGGUAGUUGACACUCCGUCAACUUUCAAGUAAUAAACUAGUCCAAAAAAAAAAUCCCACUUCACGGCAGUUUCCGUCCACCGAUCAACCCCCUUUUUUGGGCCCGCACGCCACACGAAACAUGGGUGGUAAUACUCGAGUAUACCGAUUAGCCGAGGAGAUAACACUCCACUCGAUAUCACUAGUUACCCAGGGUUCGUUAUCUAAUCGACCUGACCCUUGCAGCUCGACUCGAUUAACUAGCCAUAGGGUUUCUGGAAUUCCAGGCAAGAUACAAUUUAUACACAUGUAUAGCAAGUCAAGUGAAAUCGAUGAACAAGAACAAAUCUCGUUAGGGCAAGUGCGAUAAAGUACACCCUUGCCCUAUCACAUCACUUAUAUAUCAUGCAAUCAUAUCGGUCAAAGAUAAAUCACAAAUAUCAAGCUCAAUCAGAUAUUUGGAAGCACUCACCAAAAGUAGUGCCUCUAGUGUUCGCGUUUGGGUUGUACUCCGGGUUUAGAGUCCAAAUCUGCGAUAAAACUUGAUUUAAGAACUUUGAAAAUCGACUAAGGUUCGAAACUUAGACGUUUCGUUUAAUAAGAAUCAAGAAAUUGAAAUUCACUUGGAGAGUAGUCGUGAAACACUUGCUCGCUUUUUAAACUAUAAAACUUUGUAACAUUUAUACUUUGAAAUGCCAUUUGAGUCGAAAGUACAAGGAAAACAUACUCCGAGCAGUCAUUAUUUUAUUUCCCAAGGGUACAAGUUCGGCCAAGUUCUUACUUAUAUACCUCGGUAAAAGAAGACGCAAAUAUCCUAGAUAGCUCAAGUAGUAAUCACUCUUAACCCUUACUCAAGUUGCAAGUAUGUCUGCCUAGCCUUUGAGCGUAAAUUUGGGUAGCAUGCCCUUUGUAUUUUCCUAUUUCAGCCAUUUAUGGCUUAAUUCUUUUCCUCAAUCAAACCCAAGGUUACACACAAAACAAUCUCAUUUCAAUAGCCAUUCAAUAGGCUCAAGGUAAUACAAGUACAAAAUCAAGCUAACAACAAGUGCGGAAAUGAGGUUUAGCAAAAGACAGAUUUGACAUGAUUUUUUGUAAUGGACACAACCGAAGCUACGCUUAUCGGAUUGGGAUGCAAUUUAUCCCGUUUCGAAGCUAAGACAAAGGGUACAAUUUUUAUGAAGACCACUUAGUCCAAAUUCCAGUGUAACCCAGUCAAAUUCCCAAUUCACAGAACCAAAUUCCAACUAAUCGGCUAGUUAACCAUACUACCUUCAAAUGGCCAUAUCUCAAGCUACCAGAGUCCGUUUAAGACGUUCUUCGAGGCAUUAAAAAGAUAAGACAACGUACUAAAACUUUCAUGUUUUGACUAAAAGCUAGUUCAGUACAUAUCUAGGUGAACAAAUGCAACCAACUUAGUGUACUGGCAAAACUGUCCGCUGGUUUUACUCCUAGGGUAGUCAGGGUAUUUUCAUCUUUUCAUAGGCUACGUUACUCUGAUUGAGCUGAAAUUUUGUAGGAAACCAUAAAAUAUCAUUCCCUACGACUUUCAUGUUUUGUGCUAAGCCUAAUUAGGCCUCUAACAUGAUGAAAUGGAACCGGACAGAACUGAAACUAAAUUUUCCAGAAAUCUGGAAUUUUUGUUAUUUCAAGCUAUAAUUCACAUUUCCACCUUGAAACUACCACUACUAUCACCUUCACAAGAUCAUAUACCAUAUAUAUACAUCAUACCACACCUAACCCACAAGAAACCUUAACUCAAAAGUCAUCCAUCUAAUCAUAAAAAUUACUUGAAACAAGCAUCACAAACACAAUACCUGUGACGCCCCCACUUCUCCCUAAGGCGAACCAAAGGGUAUCCGCGGGACGCCUGCCCAGCUCUCGCCAGGACUCAAGCAAUUUUCGUCCAAGCUUAAUACAACACUAGACGUUACGAUUAAAUACUAUAAAUACAAUCAGUGCGUAAGCUUUCAAGCUUAUCAAUAUUGAACAUCUGCCCAAUCAUUACAUCGAAAUCUCGAAAUACAUCAAUAUUCAAAAUAUACAUCAAUCACAAGUCUAUCCCCAACGUGUAACGGAAACCCUAAAACAAGAGUACGCCAAGAGGGGUUUCUCCAACAUUUCUCCAAGUCCAAUCCUGUUAAGGAAAACAAAUCUAUAGGGUGAGCUAACGCUCGUGAGGCCAAGAACACACAUGCAAGCACUUAGUCAAAUAACAAUCCCAAAUUUAAUAAAUAAAGCCAUGUCUUUUCAAUAAUCAAUCAAUCAAACAUGAAAGGUAAUCAGAAACAAUUCAAGGAUAUAGUAGCUCUCAGGAGCUAAGUUCCACUCGAUCUGCCGUUGUCAUUCGUAUACCUUCCCGCAUUGACCCUCCUGUCAACCGGGUGUGUAUUUCCAUUUCCGUAGAUCACCACUUACUUUCCUCCGUCCACCGUACACCCCAAGGGCCCACAAGUCUAUUAUUGGGCGAUACUCUACGAGUAUGCCAAGCAAGACCUCUUAUUAGGUCGAGCUUAUGUGUAUCUCAUGGCUCGCCCCAGUCCCCGACCAAGCCCAUUACCGGCUCGAGUCUAAGGUUGGCCUAUGAGUUUGGGCGUCCCCCAUUCAUUUGAAGGUCGAGGAGGUUCACUCCAACGACACAAGCAUUCAUGACAUAACAUUGCAUUUCAUUCAUUCAUUCAAUACAUUCCAUUCAUUCAUUCGAAAUUAGAACGAGUGCGAUAAAGUACGCACCCGCCCUUAUUUUUAAAACUUUCAACAAAUACCACAAUUAAACAAGUAUCAAAAUUCACACACUUGACACUCACCGAGCAAUUCAAUAAGAAUUAUUUUCUGGGAGUUCAAGUGUCCGCGGUGAGAUCCUCUUGAAGGUCUCCUUGCGCGCCUGGCAAUUUAAUAGCGAAUAAUCAUACAAUUAACCCACUUAUCAAGAAGAUUGUACAUUAGUACAAUCUAAGGAUUAUUUCGCAAAAAGGAACCUCAAUUACACGUAAAUCGAGGUACAACUUGCCUUUUAUUAUGUACAAUAAUAUUUGAGUUUUUAUCUUGAAGAUCGUAAGCAAAACGUUUAAGAAUAUCAAAAGAACAAAGAGUUUUUGAAAAACUCUAUUUCUUUGGAAUUGGAAAAUUUUUCAGUUUUAUGUUGAAUCUUUGAAAAAUCAUAACUCGCUCGGUAUAAGUCGAGAAUUGGAAAACUUUAUACCGUUGGAAACCUCUUAGAGAGUACUAUAAGUUCCUAGAAGACACUUGUCCAUGAAUUGAAGUGAAAAGUGGUCAAAAAUGAGCUUGAAGACGCAGGGUCGGUUUUCAUGGCAGAAUUAAGUUGGAUUUCGGCCAACUUUGAAAAUUCGGCACGAUUCACACGUUGCAAACCGGCCUCUGAAAUUUGCAGUUCAAUUAGGGUUGCAAGUGAGGUGUAUGACAAAACAAGCGGAUCAAGAAUCGGAGUUUCGAGCACCGAGAUACGGUAGCCCGAAGUUGAGCAAAUUCAAGACUGGAUGAGAAUUUUCCAGAUUUGAACCUCUAACUUUAGUAAUUCAAUUGGGUAUCGAAACGAACUUGAAUUGGCACCAAAAUUGGCAGUAUUUCAAUACUAUAUGGAAAGUAUCUCUCUAUCGAAUUUCGGGGAAAAAUACCUUCGGCAAGGUAGUUAAUUAGCCCACCAAAGUUCAAGAAAAAUCCUAAGGCAAUCUGCCUUUGACUUGCAUUUCCCAAAUUUCCAAUCGUUUAACCAAGAAAGUUAUCCAACCAUGGUUCAUUUGUGAAAUAAGGGUCUAAGAUACACCCAUAAUAUCUUUGGUAAGUGUUUAAUAUCAAAAACAUCAACUAACAAGUUCACUCCAAGAUUUGGUUCCAAACCAGUCCAAACAUUAGGGUUUUCCAAAACAGAGCAGUCCACUUGUUUCAGUCACAAAUCAGUCAAUAUAGCUCGAAAUCGAGCAUGGCUUAUGCCGUUGGAAAAUACAUUCAUAGGACUAAAAUAUCACAGAAGAAAUCAUUUCCAAAUUCGGCACCCAACUGGUUCAAAUUCGGCCAUCAAGUUGCUGCCUGACCACUUCAUUCCAGACGAACAGAGCAACAGGACAGUGAACUUAAAACAUUUGGUUCGGCUUUCUCACAAGGAAUCAGAACGUGCAUUUUAUACCAAAUUAAAGCUAGGAAUGUCUAGUUUCAAACUCCACCGACGGUACAUGAUUUCGACAUCCGAGGACAGAGUUAUAGCCAAAAUACUACUGCUGGUCAGAGUCAUACGCGAAUCAGUUUCCAGAUUUGCUGGUUUCUAAAAAAAAUUCAUUUGCCCAUUCAAACCUCAUUAUUUUUCAAUGAAAUUUUCCACACCUCUAAUACAUCAUAUAAGCAUCCAGUUCAAGCCAUUAGUUCAUUAAAAACUGGCCUUAAAAUGGCCGAAUAAAACAGGGGUAGAAUCGGAAGUUUUUGCUUCUUACACCCAAUGAAGUUCCUACUAAUUACCCACCACUAAUGCAUCAUUAUAAUCACUAAACCCACAAUAUAAUCACCAUUAAUUAUCACAUCAGCAACAACAACCCAAGUGUGGGAAUUCCAAGAGCCCACAAUCACAUUUUUAUACCAUAAACAAGUAACUAAGUGCAUGCAUGAGCUUAAUCUUGCCAUAUAAUCUCCAAAAGAUAAGAAUCCAUGGGUUGAUCAUUACCUACUCCUUUGGUUUGCAAGGUCAGAAUUUUCGGCCCUCUUGAAGCUCCAAGAAACCGUGAAAAACUCCUCCUUUUUCUAGCUAGAUGAUCUCUCCAAGUGACAAGCUAAGUGUAGUUCAAAUUUGGUGUGAAUCCAUGAAGUUUUUGUGCAAGAAUUGAAGAUGAAAAUGACAUCUUGGUGUUGUUCUUUUUUGCUGCUGAUAAUCGGCCAAGAGAGAGACUAAGAGAGAGAGUGUUUGGUCCAAAUUUAGCUUCUUAAGGAAGACACAAUGUGUGGUGCAAAAAUCAUCCCCAAAGUCAACUCUCACUAGGGUGCGUUUGGGCGCGUUUCGGCUCGAUUUCUCGCGCGUUUGGUUCACUAGUGCACUAAACCUCUAAUGCACUUAUAUUCAGGUAAAUAUUAUUCACUCUUGAUUGUCCCAAAAUAAGGGUCUAAAGUCUCUCAAAUAAAGUCGCGCGUGUGAAAACGUGUACCGUCAAUUUUAACGCUAUAACGCGAAACUUCCGAGAAUUUCUUAUAACGAUUGUACUACUAACUAUCACUUGAGUAUUUAUUCAUAAUAUUUCCUAUUUUAGAACCAUAGUACGAGUCUCCAUUAUUCCAAGCUUAUUGCACUCUCAAGCGGAUAAAAUCUCCAAGCACUAUUCACUAUUUUUACUAAACGCGCUCCCGGAAAUUAAUUCUUGAAACAAGUCACUUUUUAAAAAAAUAUAACGAAGCUAUAUUUCCACGUAAUUAAGUUCAAUAGGUCUAGAAAAUAAUACUUGGAAUAAAUGAACAAGUAAAUAAUUAAAUAAGCUCAAAUUAGGGUUUUAAUAGGAGUUUUUUUUUUUUGAGUCCUCACAUGAGUCGAGUAUUAACUCCUCAAAUCUCCAAUAAAUUUGUAUCCAUGCGUCUUUUGGAAAACUAUCCACGCGUGAGUAGUAUAUGCUCACUUAGAACUUAUUCACCUUUAAUUCUCGAUUAACUUUUCUUAAUCUGCUAUUGUCCGUUCUUAAUUUCCUCAGGAUAAUCAUACCCUCGAAUAUAAUAUCACCUUGAAACACUCGCGUUCGUUAUUUCUCACCUAAACAAUCCUUCCGAAAAUUGAAGUUGUUAACGGGACAUUUCAAAAACAUAAUGAAGACAUUAUUCCAUACGAAUGGAUUUAAAAUGGUCGUAAUAAAUUAUUUGGGGAAAACAGGUGGAUAAAUACUUAAUUAAACCAUUAAUAUUUGAUAAAAUAAGAAAUUUUUCGGGUCUUCACAAUACCAACAUUAAUACCCAACUUAAUCAUGAUUAAUGGAGAAAGAAUGGUUGAUCAGCCAUUAUACCUCAAGACAAGAGCUUGCUAGGAUGAUCCUUCAUCUCUCCUUGAAAUUCUUGGUUCCUUAAGCUUCCCCAAGCUUCCAACUAGUGAUUAAUCGGUUUAGUUUUUCUUGGUUGCACUCAAAUGGUUGGAUUCAAGGUAGAAGAUGGAAAACUCUCUUCACUCUCUUGCUCCUCUUGCUCUCAGCCAAAAAUAGAAAGAAAUGAGGGAAAAAUGAACUCAAAUGGAAGAUAAGAAGGUGAGACUUGGCU
Molecule: long non-coding RNA, 12286 nt
Filed under: Coffea arabica (coffee)
Lineage: Eukaryota; Viridiplantae; Streptophyta; Magnoliopsida; Gentianales; Rubiaceae
Description: long non-coding RNA (CARA_LNC003749)
Source: RNAcentral